GUAUAGGUUUAAUGACUGCUUGCGCAAUCUUUAAAAGACAUUCUGUAACUUGAAUAGUGUAUAUGAAAACAUAGCACCUUGAGGAAAGCUGAAAGCAAGCAGGGGAAUGAGGCUUGACGCGCUCAAAGUCCCCCAGACCGCAUCGCUGCGAGAGGUUCACUUUCAGAUUCUCCAAGGACUACAAGAGGUGCACAAGAGAAGAUAAAUAGUAUGGAACGAGCACAUGCUCAGUGAAGAGCCAGCAUCAGAACCAACGUAUUCAAUAAUGAUCCUUCCGCAGGUUCACCUACGGAAA
RNAcentral lists this unclassified non-coding RNA (295 nucleotides) under uncultured fungus. RNAcentral describes it as "sequence contains ITS1". The record is from RNAcentral. Lineage: Eukaryota; Fungi.